CCUACGGGUGGCAGCAGUGAGGAAUAUUGGUCAAUGGACGAGAGUCUGAACCAGCCAAGUAGCGUGAAGGAUGACUGCCCUAUGGGUUGUAAACUUCUUUUAUAUGGGAAUAAAAUGUUCCACGUGUGGGAUUUGUAUGUACCAUAUGAAUAAGGAUCGGCUAACUCCGUGCCAGCAGCCGCGGGAAUACGGAGGGUACGAGCGUUAUACGGGUUUAUUGGGUUUAAAGGGAGCGUAGGGGGGUUGUUAAGUCAGUUGUGAAGGUGUGCGGCGUAACCGUAAAAUUGCAGUUGAAACUGGCAGUCUUGAGUACAGUAGAGGUGGGCGGAAGUCGUGGUGUAGCGGUGAAAUGCUUAGAUAUCACGAAGAACUCCGAUUGCGAAGGCAGCUCACUGGACUGCAACUGACACUGAGGCACGAAAGUGUGGGUAUCAAACAGGAUUAGAUACCCCAGUAGUC
RNAcentral lists this ribosomal RNA (459 nucleotides) under uncultured bacterium. RNAcentral's name for it is "partial 16S ribosomal RNA". It matches the Rfam family "Bacterial small subunit ribosomal RNA", at positions 338 to 795 of the family's 1533-position model. The record is from RNAcentral.